CAAAGCCUGAGGUGUUGGUUAUGUCACCUAAAUUCAACCGACAUUUUAUUUACGGGAUUCUGACUGUACACCUGUAGCUGACAAGCCUUCUUGCAAGGAUCUCAAAAGCAGGCGUCAAGAAACCCACCUGAGUUUGUCUCGGGAGUGAAUUUAAUGGCAUGACGGCAUUUUGGGUUUUCU
Molecule: non-coding RNA, 180 nt
Filed under: Peptostreptococcaceae bacterium
Lineage: Bacteria; Bacillati; Bacillota; Clostridia; Peptostreptococcales; Peptostreptococcaceae
Description: 6S RNA
Rfam family: 6S / SsrS RNA
About the family: E. coli 6S RNA was the first non coding RNA to be sequenced, but its function was unknown until recently. It consists of 184 nucleotides that fold into an extended hairpin structure with a large single-stranded internal bulge. The 6S RNA specifically associates with RNA polymerase holoenzyme containing the sigma70 specificity factor.
Source: RNAcentral